CAGCAUUUGAAUAAGGAGACGUAUACUUGGAAUACAGAGGAUGAAUGGAGAGAAAAAGAGAGGCAGAGGAGGUCAAAGAAAGAGAGAGAGAGAGAGAGAGAGAGGAAGAGGGUGAGAUAGUCGGUUAAAAAUGGCGGAAAAAGGGGAGAUGGUUUGUUAAAGAAGAAUGGUAGAAAGUGUAAGCAGAGUGAGCUGAAGACAGGAGGAGAAAUGGAAGUGAAUGAGGGUGAAGUAUCAGUGGUGAAGUUCUCAGAGCCCGAGGCUUGCACCGAGGGUCAGGAUAAAGAUGUUUCUGUGACAGUAGGAGUGAAGUUUUUGGAAAAAGUGAACUCUUUCCUUUUGGCUGAUCCAUUUGUGGUUUCAGGGUGGGUGAAAACACAGUUGGGUGUUGUGGAAUAGGUGAGGGUUACCGUAAGUGGUCUUGUGAUAACUGUUUGUGUUUCUGCUGGUCAGAGGGAGCAGGCGCUCCGUGUUAAACAAAUGGGGGCAAGAGAUGGGAAUUGUUUUGCUCUCAAGAAAAGGGUGCCAUUGAACGGAGUGAUAACUGGGGUAACUGUAAAUGUGGAAAGCUGACCAACUGAAGGGGAAGAGUCCCGGUGUUUGUGAUACCUGUCGUUUUUGUGGGACGCAAACAGGGUGACGUGAGUGGAGAAACAGUUCUUUUGAGUUUUGAUGUUGAGUCUUUGCCCGACAAAGUGAUGUUAGGAUAUAUAAGUUAUCCUGUAUGAGCUUUUGUGCCGAAUACGUUGUUGUUACAUGUGUCAAGCUUAUGGACAGGUGGAAGCAGUGAGUAGGAGGGAGGUUUCUACGUGUAAGAUGUGUGCAGAAGGUCAUGAGACAAAGGAAUGUGUAGCAUUGGGUAUCCCUACAAUUAACACAUACCACUAUUUCCCCAUGGGGCUGGGAAUCAGAAAUGUCCCGUGCGAGAGAGGCAGGUUGAGGUUUCCAGGGUUAGAGUCGUGCAGAAAUUGUCAUACGCUGAGGCAGUGAAGAAAGUAGAGGAAGAUGGGUGAAGGUACAGAUCUACUAGUCACUCCACUCCUCUCAGGAUCCCUCCCUCUGUUCUGGUACAGAUCUACUAGUCACUCCACUCCUCUCAGGAUCCCUCCCUCUGUUCUGGUACAGAUCUACUAGUCACUCCACUCCUCUCAGGAUCCCUCCCUCUGUUCUGAUCUACUACUCACUCCACUCCUCUCAGGAUCCCUCCCCCUUCACCCAUCUUCCUCUACUAAAUCGCAGACAAUAGAGGUUGUGCUGGCAGCUGCAGAGAGGUAUUUGGCUGUACGAGAUUUGAUGUCAGAGGAGUUACAGGGUGUGUUAAGUGUUGGUGUCCCAUCCUUUCAGGCUGUUGGCCUGAAGUAGGACUACAUAGAUUUAAAUAGCGGAGUAUGGUAUUUAUUUAUUUAAUGUUUAUUUUUCUGUUUUAUUUAUUUAUUUAUUGUUUUUUUU
Oncorhynchus tshawytscha (Chinook salmon) is the source of this 1449-nucleotide long non-coding RNA. Lineage: Eukaryota; Metazoa; Chordata; Actinopteri; Salmoniformes; Salmonidae. The record is from Ensembl.